Molecule: ribosomal RNA, 484 nt
Filed under: uncultured bacterium
Lineage: Bacteria
Description: partial 16S ribosomal RNA
Rfam family: Bacterial small subunit ribosomal RNA
Source: RNAcentral
AUUGAACGCUGGCGGCAUGCUUUACACAUGCAAGUCGAACGGCAGCACGGGCUUCGGCCUGGUGGCGAGUGGCGAACGGGUGAGUAAUAUAUCGGAACGUACCCAGAAGUGGGGGAUAACGUAGCGAAAGUUACGCUAAUACCGCAUACGAUCUAUGGAUGAAAGCAGGGGACCGCAAGGCCUUGUGCUCCUGGAGCGGCCGAUAUCUGAUUAGCUAGUCGGUGAGGUAAAGGCUCACCAAGGCGACGAUCAGUAGCUGGUCUGAGAGGACGACCAGCCACACUGGAACUGAGACACGGUCCAGACUCCUACGGGAGGCAGCAGUGGGGAAUUUUGGACAAUGGGCGCAAGCCUGAUCCAGCAAUGCCGCGUGAGUGAAGAAGGCCUUCGGGUUGUAAAGCUCUUUUGUCAGGGAAGAAACGGUAGAGGCUAAUAUCCUUUGCUAAUGACGGUACCUGAAGAAUAAGCACCGGCUAACUACGUG